GACAGAGGGUGCAAACGUUGUUCGGAAUUACUGGGCGUAAAGCGCGUGUAGGCGGUUGCCCAAGUCGGGUGUGAAAGCCCUGAGCUCAACUCAAGAAAUGCACUCGGUACUGGGUGACUAGAGGACCGGAGAGGAUAGUGGAAUUCCCAGUGUAGUGGUGAAAUACGUAGAGAUUGGGAAGAACACCAGUGGCGAAGGCGGCUAUCUGGACGGUUUCUGACGCUAAGACGCGAAAGCGUGGGGAGCAAACAGG
This 253-nucleotide ribosomal RNA is filed under the name uncultured bacterium. Its description in RNAcentral is "partial 16S ribosomal RNA". It matches the Rfam family "Bacterial small subunit ribosomal RNA", at positions 524 to 776 of the family's 1533-position model. The record is from RNAcentral.